CCCUUGAUCAUUUUCAGUUGGUAGAGCACGAGACUCUUAAUCUCAGGGUUGUGGGUUCGAUCCCCACACUGGGCA
This 75-nucleotide transfer RNA is filed under the name Podarcis lilfordi (Lilford's wall lizard). Its description in RNAcentral is "tRNA.Lys". The record is from RNAcentral. Lineage: Eukaryota; Metazoa; Chordata; Lepidosauria; Squamata; Lacertidae.